Molecule: small nuclear RNA, 105 nt
Filed under: Phytophthora infestans T30-4
Lineage: Eukaryota; Oomycota; Peronosporomycetes; Peronosporales; Peronosporaceae
Source: RNAcentral
AACCACUUCGGUGGUCAUCCGUAAUAAUUGGAGCGAUACAGAGAAGAUUAGCAUGGCCCCUGCGCAAGGAUGACACGCAUAAAUCGAGAAGUAUCGCACUUUUUG